UUCAUUCCAGCGGAAGAGUCCGGACCGCGCCACGGUCCGGCGCCGAAGGCGCAACCACCCCGGAAACGCUCAGGCACAAGGGACCGCACGGGAUUU
Molecule: non-coding RNA, 96 nt
Filed under: Chelatococcus asaccharovorans
Lineage: Bacteria; Pseudomonadati; Pseudomonadota; Alphaproteobacteria; Hyphomicrobiales; Chelatococcaceae
Description: Glycine riboswitch aptamer
Rfam family: Glycine riboswitch aptamer
About the family: This family represents the bacterial glycine riboswitch. Glycine riboswitches usually consist of two metabolite-binding aptamers domains with similar structures in tandem. The aptamers cooperatively bind glycine to regulate the expression of downstream genes.
Source: Rfam by way of RNAcentral